RNAcentral lists this ribosomal RNA (667 nucleotides) under uncultured Alphaproteobacteria bacterium. RNAcentral describes it as "bacterial SSU rRNA". It matches the Rfam family "Bacterial small subunit ribosomal RNA", at positions 35 to 750 of the family's 1533-position model. The record is from RNAcentral. Lineage: Bacteria; Pseudomonadati; Pseudomonadota; Alphaproteobacteria.
GCUGGCGGCAGGCCUAAUACAUGCAAGUCGAGCGCACCUUCGGGUGAGCGGCGGACGGGUGAGUAACGCGUGGGAACGUGCCCUUUGGUUCGGAACAACACAGGGAAACUUGUGCUAAUACCGAAUGUGCCCUUCGGGGGAAAGAUUUAUCGCCAUUGGAGCGGCCCGCGUUGGAUUAGGUAGUUGGUGGGGUAAAGGCCCACCAAGCCGACGAUCCAUAGCUGGUCUGAGAGGAUGAUCAGCCACACUGGGACUGAGACACGGCCCAGACUCCUACGGGAGGCAGCAGUAGGGAAUCUUGCGCAAUGGGCGAAAGCCUGACGCAGCCAUGCCGCGUGAAUGAUGAAGGUCUUAGGAUUGUAAAAUUCUUUCACCGGGGAAGAUAAUGACGGUACCCGGAGAAGAAGCCCCGGCUAACUUCGUGCCAGCAGCCGCGGUAAUACGAAGGGGGCUAGCGUUGCUCGGAAUUACUGGGCGUAAAGGGCGCGUAGGCGGAUAGUUUAGUCAGAGGUGAAAGCCCAGGGCUCAACCUUGGAACUGCCUUUGAUACUGGCUAUCUUGAGUUCGGGAGAGGUGAGUGGAAUGCCGAGUGUAGAGGUGAAAUUCGUAGAUAUUCGGCGGAACACCAGUGGCGAAGGCGACUCACUGGCCCGAUACUGACGCUGAG